GCGACCCCAGGUCAGUCGGGACUACCCGCUGAGUUUA
This 37-nucleotide ribosomal RNA is filed under the name Digitaria californica. RNAcentral describes it as "partial 26S ribosomal RNA". Lineage: Eukaryota; Viridiplantae; Streptophyta; Magnoliopsida; Poales; Poaceae. The record is from RNAcentral.